CAGAGGGUGCGAGCGUUAAUCGGAAUUACUGGGCGUAAAGCGUGCGUAGACGGUUAUUUAAGUCGGGUGUGAAAGCCCCGGGCUCAACCUGGGAAUUGCAUUCGAGACUGAAUAGCUAGGGUACGGUAGAGGGAAGUGGAAUUUCCGGUGUAGCGGUGAAAUGCGUAGAUAUCGGAAGGAACAUCAGUGGCGAAAGCGACUUCCUGGACCAGUACCGACGUUCAGGCACGAAAGCGUGGGGAGCAAACAGGAUUAGAUACCCUGGUAGUCCACGCCAUAAACGAUGAGGACUAGACGUUGGAGGGGUAAGCCUUUCAGUGUCGUAGCUAACGCGCUAAGACCUCCGCCUGGGGAGUACGGCCGCAAGGUUG
Molecule: ribosomal RNA, 371 nt
Filed under: uncultured organism
Description: bacterial SSU rRNA
Rfam family: Bacterial small subunit ribosomal RNA
Source: RNAcentral